GGGACACUUCACACACAAAUCACUUUAGCUUUCUGAAAUGUGUUGUGUGAAUAGUGUGUCCUCUUUUUUCAUGUUACAACUGCAAAUGUCCCACUCCUGUGGCGCUGAGGGGGGAGGAAGGGAUUAAAAACUUACCUUUUUUCCAGCGCCAGGACUCUCCUCCCUCUUCUACAGUCACUGGCUGACUGCGCGUCAAGAGCCACGCGCGCAUUCAGCCAGUCUCAUAGGAAAGCAUUAUCAAUCACAGUGAGAAGCGCCUCUAGCGGCUGUCAGUGAGACAGCCACUAGAGGCUGGAUUAACC
Molecule: non-coding RNA, 302 nt
Organism: Pelobates cultripes (western spadefoot toad)
Lineage: Eukaryota; Metazoa; Chordata; Amphibia; Anura; Pelobatidae
Source: the annotation of a GenBank genome assembly